RNAcentral lists this long non-coding RNA (2200 nucleotides) under Linum usitatissimum (flax). RNAcentral's name for it is "long non-coding RNA (LUSI_LNC004564)". Lineage: Eukaryota; Viridiplantae; Streptophyta; Magnoliopsida; Malpighiales; Linaceae. The record is from RNAcentral.
GACAUAAUCAAGAUAUCUUAAUAUAUUAUAGAAGACAUACUAUACUAACAGUGAAGAGGAAAACAUGUCUUAGGCCUUAACGUUUGAGUUAUUGUGUAAUAAGGAUAGCAUAUGAACCAUCGCCCUGUAUAAACUCAACAAUUGAAAAUUGCUAAUCUUGUGCUGGUUUGUAUGGCACACUGACCAACAUUAACAGUGAACACCCUAGUGUUGAAGCAACAUAGAAGAAUUUGUGUGCCCCGUUCAAACAUUCAUCGACUCCGUGUGAUAGUUGGUUUCGGCAGAAGAGAGAUAUACGACUGUGAGGAUACACAAAACUAUCAGCAACGAAUUAAAGUGGUUACUUGUAUAUCUGUUGGGAGAAUGAUCCUGCUGGCUUCUUAAGAGAUUUAACUUCAGAAUAAUCUAAAUUAUAAAAGUUGCAAUUACAAUCAAGACCAUGAACAGAACCAUACCUCACGAAUAAUGAAAAGGUAUUUACUUCAAAGCUCCAAAAUGACUUGCUUCCAGCUGCUCUUUGUUCAAAAAAAAGAAGCUCCACAGCUUAUGCCCAAAGUUGCUUCUUGAAGCUAAAACAAUCCAACAAAAAAGGUUUCGUAAGAACAAAUAGACAAUCUCAGAAGCUAGCAAUCCAAACCACAAACUUCAAUGCUUAUGUUUAUCGAACAAUAUUAUGUUCCUAAGAAUUGUGAAUACCUACACUCCUAUAACCAAUUUUCUGAUGUACAAAAAAAGAUUCCUAAACGAUCGGAAGACUGAAAAGCAUUCAAAUUUGUUGAAGAAUAUUAGAUUUUCCCUAUUAGUAUAAGAAUAAGUUUCAAUAUUUUUUCUUAUUAGUAUAGUAAUAGUACUUAGAAUUUUCAUAGUUAAUGAAAGAUUCUCCUAUCCUAACUCUAUAUAAACUUAUGUAAUCCUUCAUAUCUUAAUACAAUUGAAAGAUUUCUCUCAUAAAUUCAAUAUAGCAUCAGAGCCGCCGGCUACAUCUUCCGUUGCCGUCGGUGUUAAUCUCACCGUUAGUUCACCAUGACUCCUCUUGUCAGGGCGAUUGAUUCCAUAAACUUAAAUUGAUUCUUACGGAGCAUCCAUAAACUAAGAUCGAUUUUAACUCUAAGUUACCAAAUAUUAUAGCGACAUCAAUACUUAUGAAGAAAAAUAUGGUAAUCAUCUUCUAUGCUAAGAAUGCCACAACUACUAUUACCAUGGUGACAAUAGUAUCAUUGAAUCAUCAUUGUCGCAGGUUAAAAUACCCUUUUGAAAGGAAUUUCAGAUUUCUUUUCUAUUAGAAUUAAAAAGAUUGAAUUUGUUUUAUUAGAAAUUAGUAGAUGAAUAUAUAAUACUUAACUACUAACCAUGACUAAUUAUUAAUUUUCAAAAAGUAUUUAACUAAUUAUAAAAUUUAAAUACUCUUACUACUUAAUUAACAUAUUAGAAUAAUAUACUAAUUACAAUUUGAUAAUUGGUUAAGUAAUAAAAUCAUAUUAAAAUAGUAUACUAAUUACAAUUAAAUAAUUAACAGUUCGGUUGCUACCUGGGGUUAGGGCGAGAACUCUCCCACGUUUGGGACUUCCGUCCAGCCGUCAGCUGCACAAAACCAGCAGCUAGCCAUCACAAAUCUCAGCCAAAACCCCCGAUAUCCAAACUCGUUCUCAAGCAACACUCAAUCAAUCAUCUACCGCUACCCUCCUACCCCUGAAACCAAUCCCUAAAGGUCUUCGAUCGUCGAGUCCAUAGCUGCAGAUUUUGGGGACCAAUCUGACCAGGCGAUCAAAGAAAACAAUGCGGAGGCCGACAUCGCAACUCUCUGUGUACGCGAUCUCUCGUUAGAGGACAAGCAAUCAGAGAAAUCAUCACUGGUCAAUGUACGAGUGGAACAGACGGGUUUACCCUCGACAACCCGCCCGGCAACAUAAAUCUUUCCAGGGGUUGUGGAUACUAAAUCAUCUUCGACAACUUCCUCCCCUGCGGCUGGUCUAACUUUGGUGUCUUAUCUCUUGUUUUGUUUCUCGUCGAACUAUGUUUAUGUAGCUGUUAAUUAGUAUUUUUAUUUUGUUUGUUGGUCAGAACCAAUUUUGUUGGUUCCUUGAGUUAUAUUAAAUGAGUUACGAUAUUGAGGAGCGUUAGGAUAUACAGUUGAUUAAUUAUAUAGUUAAUUGUUUUUCCCGUUGUAAUUUCUAUACAUUGUACUUUUUGGAUUACCAAC